This 484-nucleotide ribosomal RNA is filed under the name uncultured bacterium. RNAcentral's name for it is "partial 16S ribosomal RNA". It matches the Rfam family "Bacterial small subunit ribosomal RNA", at positions 30 to 507 of the family's 1533-position model. The record is from RNAcentral.
AUUGAACGCUGGCGGCAGGCCUAACACAUGCAAGUCGAGCGGAUGAAGGGAGCUUGCUCCUGGAUUCAGCGGCGGACGGGUGAGUAAUGCCUAGGAAUCUGCCUGGUAGUGGGGGAUAACGUCCGGAAACGGGCGCUAAUACCGCAUACGUCCUGAGGGAGAAAGUGGUUGAUCUUCGGACCUCACGCUAUCAGAUGAGCCUAGGUCGGAUUAGCUAGUUGGUGGGGUAAAGGCCUACCAAGGCGACGAUCCGUAACUGGUCUUAGAGGAUGAUCAGUCACACUGGAACUGAGACACGGUCCAGACUCCUACGGGAGGCAGCAGUGGGGAAUAUUGGACAAUGGGCGAAAGCCUGAUCCAGCCAUGCCGCGUGUGUGAAGAAGGUCUUCGGAUUGUAAAGCACUUUAAGUUGGGAGGAAGGGCAGUAAGUUAAUACCUUGCUGUUUUGACGUUACCAACAGAAUAAGCACCGGCUAACUUCGUG